RNAcentral lists this ribosomal RNA (376 nucleotides) under uncultured bacterium. Its description in RNAcentral is "bacterial SSU rRNA". It matches the Rfam family "Bacterial small subunit ribosomal RNA", at positions 28 to 411 of the family's 1533-position model. The record is from RNAcentral.
GAUGAACGUUGGCGGCGUGGAUUAGGCAUGCAAGUCGUACGCAUAGCUUCGGCUAUGAGUGGCGCAAGGUGAGUAAUGCGAAGGUAACCAACCCUGGUGUUGGGCAUAGCCGCGGGAAACUGCGGGUAAUUCCCAGCGACGUCACGAGAUGGCAUCAUCUUGUGACCAAAGGUGUGAUUCCGCUCUAGGACGGGCCUUCGUGGUAUUAGGUAGUUGGUGAGGUAACGGCUCACCAAGCCGACGAUGCCUACCGGGUGUGAGAGCAUGACCCGGCACACUGGAACUGAGACACUGUCCAGACACCUACGGGUGGCUGCAGUCGAGAAUCUUCGGCAAUGGGCGAAAGCCUGACCGAGCGACGCCGCGUGAGGGAUUG